GGACGAACGCUGGCGGCGUGCUUAACACAUGCAAGUCGAACGGAAAGGCCCUGCUUUUGUGGGGUGCUCGAGUGGCGAACGGGUGAGUAACACGUGAGUAACCUGCCCUUGACUUUGGGAUAACUUCAGGAAACUGGGGCUAAUACCGGAUAGGAGCUCCUGCUGCUUGGUGGGGGUUGGAAAGUUUCGGCGGUUGGGGAUGGACUCGCGGCUUAUCAGCUUGUUGGUGGGGUAGUGGCUUACCAAGGCUUUGACGGGUAGCCGGCCUGAGAGGGUGACCGGCCACAUUGGGACUGAGAUACGGCCCAGACUCCUACGGGAGGCAGCAGUGGGGAAUAUUGCACAAUGGGCGGAAGCCUGAUGCAGCAACGCCGCGUGCGGGAUGACGGCCUUCGGGUUGUAAACCGCUUUCGCCUGUGACGAAGCGUGAGUGACGGUAAUGGGUAAAGAAGCACCGGCUAACUACGUG
This 469-nucleotide ribosomal RNA is filed under the name uncultured bacterium. Its description in RNAcentral is "partial 16S ribosomal RNA". It matches the Rfam family "Bacterial small subunit ribosomal RNA", at positions 27 to 507 of the family's 1533-position model. The record is from RNAcentral.